CAGGCUAGGGGUCGAAUCGGAGCUGUAGCCACUGGCCUACGCCAGAGCCACAGCAAUGCAGGAUCCGAGCUGCGUCUUCAACCUACACCACAGCUCAUGGCAACGCCAGACCCUCAACCCACUGAGCAAGGCCAGGGAUCAAACCUGCAACCCCAUGGUUCCUAGUCAGAUUCGUUAACCACUGAGCCACGACAGAAACUCCUGUUGUUGCAAUUUUUAUUCAUUUGCACAUGCUCAGCAGUUGGAACUAUGUCUGGAGCAAAGAUAAUUCUUUUAGGACUGCAACUGCCUGGCACAUGGAAGUUCCCAGGCUAGGGAUUGAAUAGGGACUAUAGCUGCUGGUCUAUGCCACAGCCACAGCCACACGGGACAGCCACAUCUGGGACCUACACCACAGCCACAGCCACACGGGACAGCCACAUCUGGGACCUACACCACAGCUCACAGCAACACCAGAUCCCUCACCCACCGAGCGAGGCCAGGGGUGCAACCUGCAUCCUCAUGGAUACUAGUCGGAUUCGUUUCUGAUGCGCCACAAUGGGAACUCCAACAAGGCCAAUUCUUAACAGAUAUUCGCUGUAUGAACUGAACACUGGAAAGAAGCAAGUCUGUGUGUUACCUGACCCGUUCAUUCUUCCACAAGACUGAACUCAACUGAUCAUUUACUUUGUGCAAUACACAAGUUAGCAGGCGUGCACGAUCUAAAUACUUAAUUAUUUUCAAUUGUUUACAUGAGCGGCUCCUGGUAUAUCCAGUUAUUUAAUAAUGAUACAAUCUACUUGUCAAAUGUUGCGAAAACCAAAAUGUAGCGUGAUUAGUAACUUGCUUGCAACCCUAAACCUUGUAAGAAAUGCGGACUAAAUCUGCCUCUGCCACUCGAAUUCCUUAAUUCUCAAACCGUCUGUGGUGAAACUCCCCAUCCAUCCCAGAAGUUUUGUAAUGUACAAUAAAAAGGAAUUACCGGAAGAGUAAAGAUGUAAGAAGGCACAAAUAAUACCAAGUGUGUUUGGUUACUAUUAGGCGCAACAAAAUUAUCAAACGGCCGAGUAUUUCUAAGUGCUUGCUCUCACUUUCUGCAUCUGUCUUAUCAGGAACAUCAAGCACCCACUGGCAUAUCCUCACAGGGCCCAGAACCACACUUGGUGUGGGGCCACCAAAAUCCAUCCACCUCCCCCUUCCAAACUCUUUCUCUACGUACUUUUGACACGAGCCUGCAACCUUCAAACGUGUCACUGCUUUGUACCACUGUCAUCACCUAUCUUAUUCACACGAAGUCCCCUGGACAGUAUGCCCCUUAUCCUACUACAGGUGGUGUGGUCCCUGAGACUGCAGGGUAAGAUCUACCAGAAACGUUACAGAAACACAUUUGUCUCCCAGGACGAGGCAACUUCUAAUGCUCACUUGCCCCUUCUAGAAAACCUUCCAACCACGUGAGACAACUGUGUGUGAGUGAACCUGCCGAUUAAGGGAGGCUGGGUGGGGAUGGGGGGAGGCAGAGCUCUUUUCAUCCCCUUGGUCACUUUUUGUCAAGAUGCUCCACAAAUGGGCAGCAGAAGCAGCAGUCUUCCUGUCAGACUUGUCACUGGGAGAGAGCGUGUGUCAGCAUAAACGGUUGUGUCCAAUGGUCGUCCAGGAAACAGUUUUGCCAUCUGUGUUUAAUCAAAUUCAUUGAGUUUUCACAGCAUUACAAGCAAUUCAUUACUGUCAUUUUCCCCACAGACGACUCUAUUCCUUAGCACCACUUACCCACUUAACACCUCCUGGCAAUGCCCAGUGCCAAGCAUCAGCCUCUACGGUGCCAAAAGUAAUAACUUCUGAUGCAGAGUGUGAACAGUGUGUUAUUAUAUUUAAUCUCCCCUCUGUGUGUUAUCAUUCAGCAUAACCAUCCUUCUGGAUUAUAGAAAAUUAGACGGCAAAUAACAUUGUUUUCUGUAUUGUUUUCUCCUCCCAGGUUCCGGGGUUCGCUGCCAACAACCAGCCACUCUCCGGACCCAAGGCAAACCAUGAGCUCCCAUCACAACACUGAUCAUUGCUCAAACCCUCACCGAACUGGAUUAUGUGCAAUGUACAUUAGCACUGCGUCUGUACACUAGCACUGAGUCUCCCUACGGUGAGUCUGCGAGGUUUUUUAGCAGGGAAAACCAUCCAGCAGAGCUGAUACAACAUAUCAUUUCGUUGCUCUCCAUCACAAUGGGGGGUUUGUUUUUCAUGCCUAAAUUCCUGUGUGGAUGGAAGUGUGGGAUGCACUGAACAUGCUGAGCAUAGCACACUGCUGAUUCCACUGUGAAAUCUUGGGCAGAUGAGCUGCGGCUGAUGACACUCAAAAAACCCCACUCAAGUCAGCACAGGGAAAAAAAUAGUAACAACAAAACCCAUCAAGAGUGAUGUGUAGCAUCUUGUGAGCAAAAGCUGGUUACUUGACCUAGGAUUUUUAUUUUUCAACUUUAAUACAGGUGCUAGGUAGAAAUCUGGUUCCCAAAAGUUUGACUUAAUGUGUGUCGCUGACUUUGAAAAGUGACUCCUCAUCUGUUUAUUUAGUGUCCUGUCAAUAAAGAUGUAUUAAGUGCCUCUUGGGGUUUUCAUUUUAGUGUUUCAAGACACCUAAUGUAAUAUUUGUCUAAUGAGUGUUCAGUGCAUUACGUUGAGUUUGCAAAAAAAGAAAAAAAAAUAACCAAAAUGCAUCAGCAUUAACCCAGGAUAAUCAUGCCUGUUUGAAUGCAAAGGAACACAUUAGCAAUAGCGUUCUGGUUAAUCGAAUGUCUCUGGCCUUUUGCUGUUUUCUUCAGAACAGCUUAUCGCUCUAAUAUUUCUAAGAAUAUAGUCUGGUAAUUGUAUCUUUACACUAUUGAUCACGGAUAUUUAUAUGACCCCCCCCCCGGCCCCGCCUAGAGCCUUUUCCAUUUUCCUUGCAGUUAGAUGGGGGUAUUAUGACGAGUUGUGACCCACAGUUUUCAGCAAGUCAAAGAAAGCAUAGCAGAAUGGGUAUGAAUUUUAUAGGCUCUGUCUUUCCCUCGAGUGAUGAGCACCAAAGACACAUAAUGAGAUGGUGGGACCCAAGAUGAGAAAGGUGUGAAUCUCUACGUCAGCAUUUCAAGAAAGUGGCCACGCAGAGCUACAAACCUGGAGUGGAAUUUGCAUGAGCAGGAAAUAAACUCUUCUGGUUAAGCCACUGAGGCUUUGAAGUGUGUCGCUGCCGCAGAGCUGAUCCUGACACCUCUGUCCAUAAUGAAGCUACCCUGGGUGACAUUUCUUAUCUGUGGCAUGGAAUUACAUCCAUACAAAAUGGAUUACCUGCUUGACCAUAAUUACAUAUUCUUAUUUGUGUGCAGGUUUUCCCAGUUCAUCAUGACUUCGUAAGUAUUUGCAAGAAAAUACAGUUUUUGAAAAGGUGGGAAGAGAAUCAGUCAGCACACUAAGUUGGGUUUCUUACUAAAAGAUUUCUUGGGGAGGCUGCCUACGACAGAGCCUAUGAAUACCUCAGCAUGAGAGAAGAGUCUUUCCUUGCCUCAGAUGGGAUGUUUUUCACUUAAUUUACGUGUCUGGGUAAAAAACAUAAAUCCCCUUCACCUUCAAGGAAAGGCUUUGGUCCUAAAGCAAUCACCUGAAGAAAGAAGCCAUUUUCUCAGAAACUUAAGUAUCUUCAUUACAACAUCAACAACAUUUAUUAUGUCCACUAUUUGGCAGGACACUCUCCCAACUGCUGGAAGAAUUUACAUAAUUUGGCCCCUGGGAUUUGUACAGUCCAAAGCAGCAGCACUAAACCCUCCCUCCCCUCUUGAGGACACACGCUGAGUGACCUUCCUGUGAAUGAUGCAUUUGCAUGUUCAAAGCCACAGUUAUGCACCAUUUCCAGAAAAAAAAAAAAAAGAAAAAGAAAAAAAAGUUGGUCAUUCUUCCUUUUCCCUUCCAGUCAAGAGAUGCAGCAUAACGCAAGUAAGCAAGAGGGAUUAUUCAAGGGAUAGCCUUGAAUGUGUCCUAUUUGUUUAAAGAACUACUUCGUGACCUCUGGCAUUUUAACUCUACAAGUAAAAAGUUAACUGGGUUUGGGAAACAACUGACUGUUACAUGAUAAGGAUGAUAAGGAGGACAGCGACGAGGGUUAAUAUUUGUGGAAUGUUUUCUACGUACAAAGCAACACUCCAAACACAUGUUAAUAUAGAUGCAGAGUUGUUCGUACAUCAACAUAGUUUUUCCUCGGUCCUACCACCAUCAUCUCAAAGGGAUUAUUAUUUCCCCCCAUGAGGCAGAAAGAGGAAGUGACUUGUACAACGUCGUGCAGCCAUGAAUGAGCAGAAUGAAUGUUAUGUCAUCUGCCUUCGAAGUUCACAUCCUUUUACAAGACUCAAACAUUAUAAAAUGGUAUCAUAAAAGACUUUGUCAUGAUAUUCAUAACUGAGAACAGCUAAGCAUCCAUAGACCGCUCUUAGUUUCCUGCUAGAUCCUGGGAAUCAAAUUUUCCCUUUUUCUGGAGGGACUGGGAAGAUUUACUACAAAGUCUCUUGCAAUCUUUUAGAAACUGGAACCAAGCAGGGCCCUGUGGGCUCCUGGGCACACAAGCCUUUCUGGGUCCCCCAUUACUUGCUUCUAGGGGAUAAACUUCAGCCUCCAUGACCUUCCCUGUGUUCCAAGGGGUAGGUUCAAGCCAUUGCUCAUCAGGGAAGGGAGGGAAUGCAGAGACCAGGGAGGAGCCAUCAAGAAACAAUAGUGCCAUUUGGGGGCAGGUCCUGGUGCCUCCUCAAGGCAUGUAGAUGACAAUAUCUCUGAGCUCUUCUGCAGAACUAACACCCCCAAGAAAUGGAGGAUGUGAACCAAGCCUUCUUUAUUCCAGAAAGAAGACUACCAGACCCCUGAACACCAGCUUUGAAAACAAGGCAAGCUUGCCUCUAUCCUGAUCCUUAUCUGCAGCCCUAUUGUUCACCCCCAAACUAUAAAACCCCACCUCCCGAUCUCUCCCAAGGGGGGACCAGUCUUUGAGGCAUUAGCCUGCUGUGACCCUCCUUUGCUGGCAAAGCAAUAAAGCUAUUUUUUUCUCCUUCACCCAAAACUCUGUCUCUGCAUUUCUAUUCCACACAGGUGAGCAGAGGCCGAGUUCUGGCAACAAAACCAGUACUCACUCUUGCCACCACAUCGAGGGAACGGCAGAAAGGAAAAGGGCACGUGGGGUAUUCCUCCUGUACAACAGAAGAUAGUUCUGGAGUCUGAGCUCUGGGAUUAAAAAUGGAAUUCUGUACCUGCUCUGCAGCCACUCUGCUCUUCGUUUAUUCAGCUGUCCACAAUUAUUGGUUGACUACGCCGUCUGCAUCUAGUCCAGGCCUUGCAGAGACAGCAUGGGACAGGCCAGGCCAGGU
Molecule: long non-coding RNA, 5348 nt
Filed under: Sus scrofa (pig)
Lineage: Eukaryota; Metazoa; Chordata; Mammalia; Artiodactyla; Suidae
Description: lncRNA (ENSSSCG00000054563.1)
Source: RNAcentral